UUGUCCCUUCUCUUUAUGAAAUCCAACUAUUUCAUAAUGUUUUUUCGGUGAUUAGAAACUCAUUCUACAUACAAACCUUGUAAGGCAAAGCUUUCUUCAGCAAAUCAUCAACUUUGAAAUCUGAUUCCACAUUCAAAUUCUUUCUGCAUCGGCAACCACUUCUCUUUAUAACAUUUAACCGUUUCGUAACCUUUUUCCAUUCCUUUCUUGUAAUUGUUUACCUAAACGACAAGAUAUCUAAUAUGUCUGUUGCGCCAGAUGGAAGGGGAAUCUUUCUAAUACCACAUGAACGACACCUCA
RNAcentral lists this long non-coding RNA (300 nucleotides) under Elaeis guineensis (African oil palm). RNAcentral describes it as "long non-coding RNA (EGUI_LNC011225)". The record is from RNAcentral. Lineage: Eukaryota; Viridiplantae; Streptophyta; Magnoliopsida; Arecales; Arecaceae.